This 61-nucleotide transfer RNA is filed under the name Ictidomys tridecemlineatus (thirteen-lined ground squirrel). RNAcentral's name for it is "Spermophilus tridecemlineatus (thirteen-lined ground squirrel) tRNA". It matches the Rfam family "tRNA", at positions 6 to 65 of the family's 71-position model. From Rfam's summary of the family: Transfer RNA (tRNA) molecules are approximately 80 nucleotides in length. Their secondary structure includes four short double-helical elements and three loops (D, anti-codon, and T loops). Lineage: Eukaryota; Metazoa; Chordata; Mammalia; Rodentia; Sciuridae. The record is from Rfam by way of RNAcentral.
UGUAGCUUAGUGGUAGAGUGCUUGCUUAGCAUCCAUGAGAUGCUGGGUUCCAUUCCCAGCA